UACGUAGGGCGCAAGCGUUGUCCGGAAUCAUUGGGCGUAAAGAGCUCGUAGGCGGCCUGUUGCGUCCGCUGUGAAAUCCCCGGGGCUUAACCCCGGGCGUGCAGUGGAUACGGGCUGGCUGGAGGCAGGCAGGGGAGAACGGAAUUCCCGGUGUAGCGGUGAAAUGCGCAGAUAUCGGGAGGAACACCGGUGGCGAAGGCGGUUCUCUGGGCCUGUACUGACGCUGAGGAGCGAAAGCGUGGGGAGCGAACAGG
RNAcentral lists this ribosomal RNA (254 nucleotides) under uncultured bacterium. RNAcentral's name for it is "partial 16S ribosomal RNA". It matches the Rfam family "Bacterial small subunit ribosomal RNA", at positions 524 to 776 of the family's 1533-position model. The record is from RNAcentral.